This 1548-nucleotide long non-coding RNA is filed under the name Androctonus crassicauda. The record is from RNAcentral. Lineage: Eukaryota; Metazoa; Arthropoda; Arachnida; Scorpiones; Buthidae.
GAGGUGUACAGUAUUAAUACGUAUACUAUAUUUUGCUUUUAAUUUUUUUCUGUAUUAAUUUUUAUUUUAAGUGGCAGUAUUAAGGGGUUAACCAAAGUCUGUCGCAGAGGCGAAGUAGGGCCGCCCGGGACUAAUGUUACGGUCCGGGCGACACUUACUUGGCGCUAACCACUGUUCGUAACUCGAAUUUUAGCUCGCAACUCGAAGCGAGAGAGACGGCUCGUAUCUCGAAACACUCGCAAGUCGAGGUGCCACUGUAUAUUUCUCGGAGAAGGCGUGUAAAACAGAAUUAAGCUUAUAUUUUGGAAGGGAGCCACCGUCUCUCCCGAUUUGGGUGCCCCUAAUUUCCUUUCCCCUUUUCAUUCCAGAUUUGGCCGGAUAUGGUGGGGACCCGCUUAAAAUACGCUAUUAAGAGUUAAAAUAAAAUCCGGUAGGCUACCGUCGAGAUGGUUGGCGUUGUCCGUAUUAGAUAUUUAAAAGUCGAUAUCGUUUAGACAGCCUCGGUGGCAUAAAAUAAUUGAAAAAAAUGGAAAUCAAAAUUGGCUGUCCAGCCCGAGAAAUCUAUCGUACUUCUGGGAAUGAACGCCAUUUAUUCGCUAAUUCCUCCGUCACGCCGGUAGUCGCGAAUAAAGUCGGAAGGCGGUUCCACCCUGGUGACCCGGCACCCGGGCUGGGCAGAUACGGCCGGCUGGCCCGGAUGGGCUCCACCGCCAGAUCGGUAUCCCCAAACCAAAAGUAAAGGCUGGCCACGGAGUGUUUUCGAUACCACACGGAACGUUCAUUUUUAUUUCGCUUGAAAAACGGGGGUUAAUGAAUUCGGCUGGAAAGAAGAAUCUUACCACCGUUAUCGCUAGCCUUCCACAUUUUUUACCACAUAAACCGCACCACGGAAAAUAAGUAGUCAGUCACCGUUUACUAAAUCACCGCAGCUGCGCGCGCUUUAAAGCCUAAUUUGGAGCGCCCAGUGGCCUAUUCGGUCGGUUAUCAAUUAGUUGGAAGUUGGGUGGAGCCGUCUCUUUCCCGGUAAAACUAUUAAUCGGAGGUAAAAAAAACCUGGUUUAUAGUUCGACCGAGCUAACGUUUCGUUAGCGUCUAGAACGUCUGUCGGCUGCCCACGUAAUUGGCUUGGUUAUAGUUAGUAUAUAAACGAGAGUAAUCCUUAAAUGCCUCGAUAAAAAUUCGUCUCGGCUAUUUGAACCCAGGACCUUCCCCAUUCCGACUCUCCGCCAUUUUGUAUCGGGUGGCCCAGCCACGUGGAUAUAACCGUAACGUCGAAACCUAAAACCAGUUCUAAGCUGUCGAUUUGGUUCGGGUUACGCCGCCUUACGGAUAAGCUCGGAGUACGCGAUAAAUGCAAUGGGUAAGCAAUGAAUUGUUUCUAACCUGGCCCGGCCGACCAGCCUUUCCCCAGCUCGGACUAUAAACCAGCCUUAAGCCAGCCGUCCGCGUCCAAGCUAUGGUCCCGGUUAAUCCGUUUUUUGGUUUUUCAGUCGCUGGACGGCUUCGCCUUUGUAUUGGCGGCGGACGGGCGCUUUCUCUACGUCUCCG